GACGAACGCUGGCGGCGUGCCUAAUACAUGCAAGUCGAGCGGACUUUCAAGAAGCUUGCUUUUUGAAAGUUAGCGGCGGACGGGUGAGUAACACGUGGGCAACCUGCCUGCAAGACGGGGAUAACUCCGGGAAACCGGGGCUAAUACCGGAUAAUAUCUUCCUUCGCAUGAAGGAAGGUUGAAAGGCGGCGCAAGCUGCCGCUUGCAGAUGGGCCCGCGGCGCAUUAGCUAGUUGGUGAGGUAACGGCUCACCAAGGCGACGAUGCGUAGCCGACCUGAGAGGGUGAUCGGCCACACUGGGACUGAGACACGGCCCAGACUCCUACGGGAGGCAGCAGUAGGGAAUCUUCCGCAAUGGACGAAAGGCUGACGGAGCAACGCCGCGUGAGCGAAGAAGGGCUUCGGAUCGUAAAGCUCUGUUGUCAGGGAAGAACAAGUACCGUUCGAACAGGGCGGUACCUUGACGGUACCUGACCAGAAAGCCACGGCUAACUACGUG
RNAcentral lists this ribosomal RNA (499 nucleotides) under uncultured bacterium. RNAcentral describes it as "partial 16S ribosomal RNA". It matches the Rfam family "Bacterial small subunit ribosomal RNA", at positions 28 to 507 of the family's 1533-position model. The record is from RNAcentral.